RNAcentral lists this ribosomal RNA (497 nucleotides) under uncultured bacterium. Its description in RNAcentral is "partial 16S ribosomal RNA". It matches the Rfam family "Bacterial small subunit ribosomal RNA", at positions 36 to 507 of the family's 1533-position model. The record is from RNAcentral.
UCUUCCCUCUUUCUUCGUGCCUAAUACAUGCAAGUCGAGCGAACGGACGAGAAGCUUGCUUCUCUGAUGUUAGCGGCGGACGGGUGAGUAACACGUGGAUAACCUACCUAUAAGACUGGGAUAACUUCGGGAAACCGGAGCUAAUACCGGAUGAUAUUUUGAACCGCAUGGUUCAAAAGUGAAAGACGGUCUUGCUGUCACUUAUAGAUGGAUCCGCGCUGCAUUAGCUAGUUGGUAAGGUAACGGCUUACCAAGGCAACGAUGCAUAGCCGACCUGAGAGGGUGAUCGGCCACACUGGAACUGAGACACGGUCCAGACUCCUACGGGAGGCAGCAGUAGGGAAUCUUCCGCAAUGGGCGAAAGCCUGACGGAGCAACGCCGCGUGAGUGAUGAAGGUCUUCGGAUCGUAAAACUCUGUUAUUAGGGAAGAACAUAUGCGUAAGUAACUGUGCACAUCUUGACGGUACCUAAUCAGAAAGCCACGGCUAACUACGUG